Molecule: ribosomal RNA, 501 nt
Filed under: uncultured bacterium
Lineage: Bacteria
Description: bacterial SSU rRNA
Rfam family: Bacterial small subunit ribosomal RNA
Source: RNAcentral
GAUGAACGCUAGCGACAGGCCUAACACAUGCAAGUCGAGGGGCAACGGGGCGUAGCAAUACGCUGCCGGCGACCGGCGGAUGGGUGAGUAACGCGUAUGCAACCUGCCUUCAGCAGGGGGAUAGCCCGUUGAAAGACGGAUUAAUACCCCAUAACACAGGGGCUCCGCAUGGAGAUUAUUGUUAAAGGGAUGCUUCCUUCGGGGGUAUUCCGGCUGAAGAUGGGCAUGCGUUCCAUUAGGUAGUUGGUUGAGGUAACGGCUCACCAAGCCUGCGAUGGAUAGGGGAACUGAGAGGUUGGUCCCCCACACUGGUACUGAGACACGGACCAGACUCCUACGGGAGGCAGCAGUGAGGAAUCUUGGUCAAUGGACGGAAGUCUGAACCAGCCAUGUCGCGUGAAGGAGGACGGCCCUAAGGGUUGUAAACUUCUUUUGCAGCGGAAUAAAGUAUUCCACGUGAUGGGAUAUUGCAAGUACGCUGCGAAUAAGGAUCGGCUAACU